GACGAACGCUGGCGGCGUGCUUAACACAUGCAAGUCGAGCGGUAAGGCCUUUCGGGGUACACGAGCGGCGAACGGGUGAGUAACACGUGGGUGAUCUGCCCUGCACUUCGGGAUAAGCCUGGGAAACUGGGUCUAAUACCGGAUAUGACCUCCUAUCGCAUGGUGGGUGGUGGAAAGAUUUAUCGGUGCAGGAUGGGCCCGCGGCCUAUCAGCUUGUUGGUGGGGUAAUGGCCUACCAAGGCGACGACGGGUAGCCGACCUGAGAGGGUGACCGGCCACACUGGGACUGAGACACGGCCCAGACUCCUACGGGAGGCAGCAGGGGGGAAUAUUGCACAAUGGGCGAAAGCCUGAUGCAGCGACGCCGCGUGAGGGGUGACGGCCUUCGGGUUGUAAACCUCUUUCAGCAGGGACGAAGCGCAAGUGACGGUACCUGCAGAAGAAGCACCGGCUAACUACGUG
Molecule: ribosomal RNA, 462 nt
Filed under: uncultured bacterium
Lineage: Bacteria
Description: partial 16S ribosomal RNA
Rfam family: Bacterial small subunit ribosomal RNA
Source: RNAcentral